GGCGUGCGCGCGCACGGGUGAUUCUCAGCGCUCCCGCCCGCGGGGCUGAGGCGGCGCCGCCGCCGCCCGGGACUGCGACCCCGGGACGGGCACCCCGCAGCCCGUCUCUGACGAGACUGGAGGCAGAGGGCACGGCGGGCUGGGGUAGCCCUUCGUGCGCCUACCUCAGCGAGUCCACGUCUUGACACCAGGAUCUCUCCCAUCAAUCUGUGAUAAUUUGGAAACAGAGCCAUAAACAACAUGCCUAAAUACUCUUUUUUUUCCCCCCUGAAUAUUGAAAUCUUUCUUGUAACCCUGCUAUAGGUAAAAAUAGCAUGAAAUACAUUCAGUAGCAAAGCAGUGGAAAUGCAGAAGAAAGGAGAGCCCUGUAUUCCUGGAGGAAAAACCUGUAUGUGUUAAGUCAAGACCCUGAAAUAAAUUAUGUAGACUUCUGAGCUGGGAAAGACAGGCUCUUGGUUAAUACUGAGGGUCACAUCAGAAUGAAUGAAAGACACCGAAGAAUUUCAUUUCAAGCCUGCACUCCUGCCUUUUGUCCUUUCCCCAAGAGGAGAGACCACUGGAAGAAUCCUCCAGGGUUUGUUUGAGUUCUUCUAGUGUCUGCAGGAGGAUGUGAUAUCACCUGUUCUUGCCUGUGGGGAUUGGCGAAAGGUACUUGCUUGACAGUUGUGUCCUGAUACUUCAGAAAGCAACAUGGGAAGAAGCAGACAUUAAGCUUGUUCUGUAUGUAACUAUUCCUGGGGAAGAUAGAGCAUCUCAACACAUUACUUUUGGCCUUUACAUGAAAAGACCCCACUUCACCAUGCAUCUCUGGCUGCUCUUGCUCACCAAGAUGUCUCAGAUUUUUAGAAUCAUAGAUCCAAAAUAAUAGAGUCUAAUUCUCAAGAAUUUCACUAAACAGGAAUAUGAAUUUUAACUACUGUGAUACAUGUUAACAAUUUCCUGUUAGAGAAAGAAAUCCUGAAACUCUUGAAAAUCAAAUCGAGAAGCCCAUUCAGGAAGAGAUUUUACAUUACAAGAAGUACUGUUGUCUUCACUGAGCAAGGUGCUAAUCACCAACGAUCAUGGGACAUGGCCCUCCUGUAUUCAAUACAUUAAUAACAACUGUUGAGGAAUUUAUUAGUGUUAUAUAAAACACUUUAAAGCAAAGAGGAGGGUGGAAUGUGUAAUUCUCUGAAAGUCAGAAGCCAGGUCUAGAAUAAACGGCUCCGAAAGCCAUUGUCUUCCACAUUCCUGGCUUCACGGAAAAAAGAAAAAAAAAAGUUAUCAAGGGAUGCCCAGGAAACCUUUUAAUUUUUGGUGCCAAGCUACUUCAUUAUCUCUGAAUUUUGUUAGCUGUAGUAGAAACUACUGUGGAAAACAGAUCCAGAAAAGAUGGCAGACAUUCUGCAAGGCAAAGUCCUUAAAGCUUUUCAACUUUUUCAAGUUAUGUUCAUCCUUUAGUAUCUGCCUAAAAGAUUAUGGCCUUUAUUUUCUAAAACUGACUCCAACAGAGGAAUCACUGUCCGUGUCCUUAGGAUAAAACUGUGUAUGCCUACCUACACCUGCAUACAUUUGGAAAUCUAACUUUCUGACUGAAUGACAAACUAGAUUGUCAGGAAAAUAAAGGUACAAAUAAUAGUGCUUUUAAUUUUGUCCUCAUACUUUCAGUCGAAUGUAAAACAGCGCUGCUGCAAUUGGCGCUGCCCAGUCUAAGCUUGGACCCAUCGCUGCUGCUGAUGGACUCACCUGGUCCAAGUCAUUC
Molecule: long non-coding RNA, 1741 nt
Organism: Rhea pennata
Lineage: Eukaryota; Metazoa; Chordata; Aves; Rheiformes; Rheidae
Exons: 4
Source: RefSeq, a predicted model, not a curated record